CGGGUACUGCCCUUCUCGUCAGGAAUAAUUACUCUCGGGGCCUUACGCUCCUCAAGGGAGCUGUCCCUGAGGGAGGCCGUGGCCUCCUUCAAACGGCGCCCACCUACGUUAGUAGGUCUCCGAGGAACGACAUUCCGACGGUCGCGGUGGUCCCACU
Molecule: non-coding RNA, 157 nt
Filed under: Alphaproteobacteria bacterium HGW-Alphaproteobacteria-12
Lineage: Bacteria; Pseudomonadati; Pseudomonadota; Alphaproteobacteria
Description: 6S RNA
Rfam family: 6S / SsrS RNA
About the family: E. coli 6S RNA was the first non coding RNA to be sequenced, but its function was unknown until recently. It consists of 184 nucleotides that fold into an extended hairpin structure with a large single-stranded internal bulge.
Source: RNAcentral